This 253-nucleotide ribosomal RNA is filed under the name uncultured bacterium. Its description in RNAcentral is "partial 16S ribosomal RNA". It matches the Rfam family "Bacterial small subunit ribosomal RNA", at positions 524 to 776 of the family's 1533-position model. The record is from RNAcentral.
GACAGAGGAGCCAAGCGUUGUCCGGAUUGACUGGGCGUAAAGCGCACGUAGGCGGCUUUGUAAGUUAGAGGUGAAAGCCCGGGGCUCAACCCCGGAAUUGCCUUUAAGACUGCAUCGCUUGAAUCCGGGAGAGGUGAGUGGAAUUCCGAGUGUAGAGGUGAAAUUCGUAGAUAUUCGGAAGAACACCAGUGGCGAAGGCGGCUCACUGGACCGGUAUUGACGCUGAGGUGCGAAAGCGUGGGGAGCAAACAGG